AUGAGGGCUUUCAAUCAUGCUUUACUGGCCAAGCAAGCUUGGCGAUUGUUAGAUUCGCCGGAUAGCCUGUGUGCACGACUCAUGAAAGCUCGAUACUACCCGACUGGACAGUUGUUGGAUACUUCGUUCUCUGGCAAUGGUUCUUCAGUUUGGAAGGGUAUACUACAUGGUCUUGACCUGCUGAAGCAAGGUGUUAUUUGGAGGGUCGGCAAUGGAGCUAACAUACGCACAUGGAGAGACCCCUGGAUUCCCCGGCCGUCGACGUUUCGCCCUAUCACCCCAAAAGGAAACUAUCGACUGAACCGGGUGGGCGAUUUCAUUGAUGAGAACGGUGCUUGGCGAGUUGAUCGUCUUCGGGAGUUUUUCUGGCCGAUGGACGUGGACUACAUAUUAAAGAUCAGGGCUUCACCGCGGAACCGCGACGAUUUCCUAUCCUGGUACCCGGAGAAGUCUGGACUAUUCUCCGUAAGGAGCGCAUAUAAGCUGGCCACAUGCGAUCACAACAUCACUUUUGCCAAUGGAUCGUCGAGCACAAACCCAGCUGGAGAUCGCGUGAUAUGGAACUGUAUCUGGGCGGCUAACGUGCCCCAGAAAAUGAAGAUUAAUGCUUGA
Molecule: ribosomal RNA, 612 nt
Filed under: Triticum aestivum (bread wheat)
Lineage: Eukaryota; Viridiplantae; Streptophyta; Magnoliopsida; Poales; Poaceae
Description: partial small subunit ribosomal RNA
Source: RNAcentral